UCCUAAUCAGCAGAUACGCAGUACAGGACGAAACCAUUGCGGAGUAUCGUGUUUGAGCAGACAAAACCCCUAUUUACUGCUGCUGUCGUGGAGGCAUGCGAUCAUCCUUUAAACUGUUUUCCUUCCUUGAACGAAUGAUGAUUUAGUAAAACAAGGCGAAAAUCAUGCGAGCGAUGAUGGAGAAUUUGCGGCAUGUUUAUAAGCUUGAUAACCCGAGAAAGAAAUAUUGAAAAAAACGAAUCCUUCGUCGAUGAUUAGAUAUGUUUACGCAAUUAUAAGAAAUUUACAUCCGUAGAAACGUAUGAAAUGGAUAUAAUUUGAAAGACAUACAAAAUAUCCAAAGCAAAUAUCCUCGUUGUAACAUUUACAAACUUUUUGUAC
Molecule: unclassified non-coding RNA, 381 nt
Filed under: Bombus terrestris (buff-tailed bumblebee)
Lineage: Eukaryota; Metazoa; Arthropoda; Insecta; Hymenoptera; Apidae
Description: misc RNA ENSBTSG00005032599.1
Source: RNAcentral